RNAcentral lists this transfer RNA (71 nucleotides) under bacterium. Its description in RNAcentral is "tRNA-Gln". It matches the Rfam family "tRNA". From Rfam's summary of the family: Transfer RNA (tRNA) molecules are approximately 80 nucleotides in length. The record is from RNAcentral. RNAcentral also lists the same sequence under 2 other names.
UGUCCAAUGGUGUAAUGGUAGCACGUCGGAUUCUGGUUCCGCCUGUGAGGGUUCGAGUCCUUCUUGGACAA